GCAAACUUGGUCAUUUAGAGGAAGUAAAAGUCGUAACAAGGUUUCCGUAGGUGAACCUGCGGAAGGAUCAUUAAAAAUUUAAUUAUCCUACUUAAACUACAUGGAUAAUAAAAUCCAUAUUCAUUUCAUGUGCAUCUAUCGAUCGUAUACUUUGACAGAUUUUUUUCCUUCUUUCUUUCUUGAUCUUCAUUUCAGAAAGAUGGAGAGAAUUCGAAUCUUCGGGGGUCUGUCAAAGUUUUCCUUUUUUCUUCUCCUGAAUCCUUUAAAUUCCGAAAACCUCCCAUGUGAUAAUAAAAUCCAAUACAACUUUCAACAACGGAUCUCUUGGCUCUCGCAUCGAUGAAGAACGCAGC
Molecule: unclassified non-coding RNA, 353 nt
Filed under: uncultured fungus
Lineage: Eukaryota; Fungi
Description: partial contains small subunit ribosomal RNA, internal transcribed spacer 1, and 5.8S ribosomal RNA
Rfam family: Eukaryotic small subunit ribosomal RNA (bases 1-73)
Source: RNAcentral